GACGAACGCUGGCGGCGUGCCUAAUACAUGCAAGUUGAGCGCUGAAGGUUGGUACUUGUACCUACUGGAUGAGCAGCGAACGGGUGAGUAACGCGUGGGGAAUCUGCCUUUGAGCGGGGGACAACAUCUGGAAACGAAUGCUAAUACCGCAUAAAAACUUUAAACACAAGGUUUAAGUUUGAAAGAUGCAAUUGCAUCACCCAAAGAUGAUCCCGCGUUGUAUUAGCUAGUUGGUGAGGUAAAGGCUCACCAAGGCGAUGAUACAUAGCCGACCUGAGAGGGUGAUCGGCCACAUUGGGACUGGGACACGGCCCAAACUCCUUCGGGAGGCAGCAGUAGGGAAUCUUCGGCAAUGGGCGAAAGUCUGACCGAGCAACGCCGCGUGGGUGAAGAAGGUUUUCGGAUCGUAAAACUCUGUUGAUAGAGAAGAACGUUAGUGGGAGUGAAAAGCUCAUCAAGUGACGGUAACUACCCAGAAAGGGACGGCUAACUACGUG
This 497-nucleotide ribosomal RNA is filed under the name uncultured bacterium. Its description in RNAcentral is "partial 16S ribosomal RNA". It matches the Rfam family "Bacterial small subunit ribosomal RNA", at positions 28 to 507 of the family's 1533-position model. The record is from RNAcentral.